UACGGAGGAUUCAAGCGUUAUCCGGAUUUAUUGGGUUUAAAGGGAGCGUAGGCGGGUUGUUAAGUCAGUUGUGAAAGUUUGCGGCUCAACCGUAAAAUUGCAGUUGAUACUGGCAUCCUUGAGUACAGUAGAGGUAGGCGGAAUUCGUGGUGUAGCGGUGAAAUGCUUAGAUAUCACGAAGAACUCCGAUUGCGAAGGCAGCCUGCUGGACUGUAACUGACGCUGAUGCUCGAAAGUGUGGGUAUCAAACAGG
RNAcentral lists this ribosomal RNA (253 nucleotides) under uncultured bacterium. Its description in RNAcentral is "partial 16S ribosomal RNA". It matches the Rfam family "Bacterial small subunit ribosomal RNA", at positions 524 to 776 of the family's 1533-position model. The record is from RNAcentral.